Molecule: ribosomal RNA, 279 nt
Filed under: uncultured bacterium
Lineage: Bacteria
Description: partial 16S ribosomal RNA
Rfam family: Bacterial small subunit ribosomal RNA
Source: RNAcentral
UGCCAGCCUCCUCGGUAAUACUGCGUGUGCGAUCGUGAAUCGGAAGCACUGGGCGUAAAGCGUACGUAGGCGGCGUAUCCAGUCAGGCGUGAAAGCCCUCGGCUCAACCGAGGAAUUGCGUUUGAAACUGGUAUGCUAGAGUCUCGGAGAGGUUGGCGGAAUUCCAGGUGUAGGAGUGAAAUCCGUAGAUAUCUGGAGGAACACCGGUGGCGAAGGCGGCCAACUGGACGAGUACUGACGCUGAGGUACGAAAGCGUGGGGAGCAAACAGGAUUAGAUG